GACGAACGCUGGCGGCGUGCUUAACACAUGCAAGUCGAACGGCAAGGCCCUGCUUUUCUGGGCUGCUCGAGUGGCGCACGGGUGUGUAACACGUGAGUAACCUGCCCUUGACUUUGGGAUAACUUCAGGAAACUGGGGCUACUACCGGCUAGGAGCUCCUGCUGCCUGGUGGGGGUUGGAACGUUUCGGCGGUUGGGGAUGGACUCGCGGCUUAUCAGCUUGUUGGUGGGGUAGUGGCUUACCCAGGCUUUGACGGGUAGCCGGCCUGAGAGGGUGACCGGCCACAUGGGGACUGAGAGACGGCCCAGACUCCUACGGGAGGCAGCAGUGGGGAAUAUUGCACAAUGGGCGGAAGCCUGAUGCAGCAACGCCGCGGGCGGGAUGACGGCCUUCGGGUUGUAAACCGCUUUCGCCUGUGACGAAGCGUGAGUGACGGUAAUGGGUAAAGAAGCACCGGCUAACUACGUG
RNAcentral lists this ribosomal RNA (468 nucleotides) under uncultured bacterium. Its description in RNAcentral is "partial 16S ribosomal RNA". It matches the Rfam family "Bacterial small subunit ribosomal RNA", at positions 28 to 507 of the family's 1533-position model. The record is from RNAcentral.